UACGGAGGAUUCGAGCGUUAUCCGGAUUUAUUGGGUUUAAAGGGAGCGUAGGCGGGUUGUUAAGCCAGUUGUGAAAGUUUGCGGCUCAACCGUAAAAUUGCAGUUGAUACUGGCAUCCUUGAGUACAGUAGAGGUAGGCGGAAUUCGUGGUGUAGCGGUGAAAUGCUUAGAUAUCACGAAGAACUCCGAUUGCGAAGGCAGCCUGCUGGACUGUAACUGACGCUGAUGCUCGAAAGUGUGGGUAUCAAACAGG
Molecule: ribosomal RNA, 253 nt
Filed under: uncultured bacterium
Lineage: Bacteria
Description: partial 16S ribosomal RNA
Rfam family: Bacterial small subunit ribosomal RNA
Source: RNAcentral